RNAcentral lists this small RNA (189 nucleotides) under Isoptericola dokdonensis. Its description in RNAcentral is "c-di-AMP sequence". It matches the Rfam family "c-di-AMP riboswitch aptamer (ydaO/yuaA leader)". Rfam says of the family: This family represents a conserved RNA structure found upstream of the ydaO and yuaA genes in Bacillus subtilis and related genes in other bacteria. The ydaO/yuaA element is thought to act as a genetic "off" switch for the ydaO and yuaA genes in its native state. Lineage: Bacteria; Bacillati; Actinomycetota; Actinomycetes; Micrococcales; Promicromonosporaceae. The record is from RNAcentral.
CUCGACCGGACGCCGAGUCCUGCCACCGGUCGGGGAGACGGAACCCAUGGCAGGAGCGGGGGACCCAAUUCUGGGCAUCGGAGACGGUGUCCUCGGGGUGAAGCCGGUCAGGGCGCGAGCCCUGGACGGCCGGGUGAUUUCUCCCACCCGAACCCGACAGCUGACCUCGUAGGCGACGGGAGAGGAAAA